UCCGGUUUGUCACCGGCAGUCUCGCAUGAGUCCCCAACUUAAUGCUGGCAACAUGCGACGGGGGUUGCGCUCGUUGCGGGACUUAACCCAACAUCUCACGACACGAGCUGACGACAGCCAUGCAGCACCUUCACGGCAGCCCCGAAGGGAAGCUCCAUCUCUGGAGCGGUCCACCGCAAUUCAAACCCAGGUAAGGUUCUUCGCGUUGCGUCGAAUUAAACCACAUGCUCCACCGCUUGUGCGGGCCCCCGUCAAUUCCUUUGAGUUUCAGUCUUGCGGCCGUACUUCCCAGGCGGGCACUUAAUGCGUUAGCUACGGCACGGAACCCGUCGAUCGAGCCCCACACCUAGUGCCCAACGUUUACGGCGUGGACUAC
Molecule: unclassified non-coding RNA, 376 nt
Filed under: uncultured bacterium
Lineage: Bacteria
Description: contains 16S-23S intergenic spacer region
Source: RNAcentral